RNAcentral lists this ribosomal RNA (1152 nucleotides) under Triticum aestivum (bread wheat). RNAcentral describes it as "partial small subunit ribosomal RNA". Lineage: Eukaryota; Viridiplantae; Streptophyta; Magnoliopsida; Poales; Poaceae. The record is from RNAcentral.
AUGGAUAUACGCCGAUUGAUGGUGCACAAACUAAAGAAGGAUAUUCAUCAUCAACCACUUUCUAGCACCCACCGACUUCGAACUAUCAUUACUCUGGAUGAUAGCAUGCCAUCUUUCAGUCUAGUAACCCUGCUAUGCAAGGAUUCGAGAUAUAUGGCCGUCCUAGACUUAAGUGAUCUGGCCAUCGAGAAGAUUCCAGAUGCGAUUGGAGAUCUCUUUAAUCUCCGCUAUUUGGGUUUGCGUAAUUCAAAGGUGAAGAUUCUACCGAAAUCUGUAGAGAAGCUUUCAAAUUUGUUGACACUAGACCUUUUUGGAUCUGACAUACAUCAGCUGCCUAGAGGAAUUGUGAAACUGAAGAAGCUUAGGCACUUAUUUGCUGUGAAAAUAAUUGAUACAAAUUGGCGAAAUUUUCAUUCUUGCAGUUGUAUGUAUCUCCCCAAUGGUCUUGAAAAUCUAUCAGACCUGCAAACGCUACAAGCAUUGGAAGCACAAGAUGAGUCUAUCAGACAUUUAGGGGAGCUGAAGCAACUGAGAAGAUUGAGGUUAUGGAAUGUGAAGGGAAUCUACUGCGAACGCAUCAGUGAGUCUCUAGUUCAGAUGCAGUAUUUGUGUAGCCUAUAUGUCAAUGCAAGUGAUGAGGACGAGGUUCUCUUGUUGGAUGUCUGCCUGCCAAAUCUACAAUGCCUAUCUUUGAGUGGACGGUUAGCUGAAAGGGUGUUGGAUAAGUCUACUCUCUUCCAAGCUGUUGGAGACCUGAACUUGUUUGAAUUGUCUCUACGUUGGUCACAGCUAAUAGAAGACCCACUGCCGACACUUUCUCGGUUGUCAACUUUGACGCUUCUACGAUUCAUUAGAGCAUACAAUGGAGAGCGGCUGGCGUUUCUCACGGGGUGGUUUCCCAAGCUGAAGACUCUUCACUUAGUAGACCUGCCUAAUCUGAAUCAGCUAGAGAUACAACAAGGUGCCAUGGCGAGCCUAGAAGAUUUAGCACUAGUCAACCUGAGCAGCAUGACCGAGGUCCCUACUGGAAUUGAGUUCCUUAUGCCCCUCCAGUAUCUAAGCUUUCUGGAAAUCACCAGUGACUUCUUGAUACUGCUGCACCAAUGUUCUGCAACUCGAGGGAAGCAGUGGCAGCAUACUCUCCGGAGUUGA